RNAcentral lists this non-coding RNA (23 nucleotides) under Cricetulus griseus (Chinese hamster). The record is from RNAcentral. Lineage: Eukaryota; Metazoa; Chordata; Mammalia; Rodentia; Cricetidae.
AAUCCUGUGACUGGGAUCACCCA